RNAcentral lists this transfer-messenger RNA (352 nucleotides) under bacterium. RNAcentral describes it as "JdFR-97 sp002010915 X1 Standard tmRNA". It matches the Rfam family "transfer-messenger RNA". Rfam says of the family: Bacterial tmRNA, also known as 10Sa RNA or SsrA, is named for its dual tRNA and mRNA-like properties. Its role is to liberate the mRNA from a stalled ribosome. RNAcentral also lists the same sequence under 1 other name. The record is from RNAcentral.
GGGGGCGAAAAGGGUUCGACGGGGACAGUUGAGGUCAAAGUUGCGUGCCGAGGUUCCUACUUCCUCGUAAAACAGGUAGGGUUCAACGAUAGUCGCCGACAACUACGACUACGCCCUGGCCGCUUAAGGCCACGUCCCUCUGGUCAGGCCCGCAGGGCCGGAAGGGGCGUCGAUCAGCGGGCUGGCCAAAUCCUUCCCGCCUGAGGGGGAGGAGGCGAGACUAAAUCAGGCUGGCCCCUUGGGAAUCCUUCUCCCGGGAGUCUCAAGGGACGAGAACAAAACGGGAGAUACGCACGUAGACGCUUUGGCUGAAGGUUUCCGGACGGGGGUUCGAUUCCCCCCGCCUCCACCA